RNAcentral lists this unclassified non-coding RNA (309 nucleotides) under uncultured Ascomycota. Its description in RNAcentral is "sequence contains ITS1". The stretch from base 1 to 105 matches the Rfam family "5.8S ribosomal RNA", at positions 50 to 154 of the family's 154-position model. Lineage: Eukaryota; Fungi; Ascomycota. The record is from RNAcentral.
GAAAUGCGAUAAGUAGUGUGAAUUGCAGAAUUCAGUGAAUCAUCGAAUCUUUGAACGCACAUUGCGCCCUUUGGUAUUCCGAAGGGCAUACCUGUUCGAGCGUCAUUUAAACUCUCAAGCGUUGCUUGGCCUUGGGCGCUCUUGGCCCCGCGUGCGGGGACUCGCCUUAAAGUGAUCGGCUGCUAGUACAUCGACUACGGCGCACAGUACAGUGUCGCUGCCGGGUCGGACCGUACACGGGUUGGCCGCAGUCAACACCCAUUUUUCAGUUUUGACCUCGGAUCAGGUAGGAAUACCCGCUGAACUUAA